This 496-nucleotide ribosomal RNA is filed under the name uncultured bacterium. RNAcentral's name for it is "partial 16S ribosomal RNA". It matches the Rfam family "Bacterial small subunit ribosomal RNA", at positions 28 to 507 of the family's 1533-position model. The record is from RNAcentral.
GAUGAACGCUGGCGGCGUGCCUAAUACAUGCAAGUCGAGCGAACGGACGAGAAGCUUGCUUCUCUGAUGUUAGCGGCGGACGGGUGAGUAACACGUGGAUAACCUACCUAUAAGACUGGGAUAACUUCGGGAAACCGGAGCUAAUACCGGAUAAAUUUUUAAACCCCAGGUUUAAAAGUGAAAAGAGGUUUUGGCGUCACUUAUAGAUGGAUCCGCGCGGCAUUAGCUAGUUGGUAAGGUAACGGCUUACCAAGGCAACGAUGCAUAGCCGACCUGAGAGGGUGAUCGGCCACACUGGAACUGAGACACGGUCCAGACUCCUACGGGAGGCAGCAGUAGGGAAUCUUCCGCAAUGGGCGAAAGCCUGACGGAGCAACGCCGCGUGAGUGAUGAAGGUCUUCGGAUCGUAAAACUCUGUUAUUAGGGAAGAACAUAUGUGUAAGUAACUGUGCACAUCUUGACGGUACCUAAUCAGAAAGCCACGGCUAACUACGUG